Molecule: long non-coding RNA, 412 nt
Organism: Trematomus bernacchii (emerald rockcod)
Lineage: Eukaryota; Metazoa; Chordata; Actinopteri; Perciformes; Nototheniidae
Exons: 3
Source: RefSeq, a predicted model, not a curated record
UGUGGGAUGCAACAUUUUCGAAAAAUGUGUGACGUUUCAAAGGCUUUUAUUUGAUUCCUAUAUAAACCCUUGAUAGAUGUCAACCUUCACAGAAGGUGAGGUUUGCAAUAUCCCAGACGUUGAACCGGACUAUAUUUGAAGACACGGAAAUAAUACAACAUUUAAAAGAAAGGAGGAUAAACUCUUUCCCAUUUUAUUAUCUUUUCAUUUGGGAUUAAAAGAAAAACAGGAUGGGUAUCAAACGGAUCAUAUCACUCGCCCUGAUUCUAAUAGUGGUAUCGACAACUGCUGAUGUAGCUGCAACAACAACAGCAGCACCUACAACUACUGCUGCUCCAACAACGGUGCCACCUACAACUACUGCCGCACCUACAACUGCAGCCCCUACUACUGUUGCAACAACAACAGCAGC